UGUAAGUACGGGUCAGAGGCGGUGGGAAUGGGUAGGGGGCUGGUGUUGUACGGAAGCAUUGGGCGUAAAGGGGGGGUAGGCGGGCUGGUAAGUCCGCUGUGAAAGUCGGGGGCUCAACCCUCGAAUGCCGGUGGAUACUGUCGGGCUAGAGUGCGGAAGAGGCGAGUGGAAUUCCUGGUGUAGCGGUGAAAUGCGCAGAUAUCAGGAGGAACACCAAUUGCGAAGGCAGCUCGCUGGGACGUAACUGACGCUGAGACGCGAAAGCGUGGGGAGCAAACAGGAUUAGAUACCCCGGUAGUC
Molecule: ribosomal RNA, 300 nt
Filed under: uncultured Methanobrevibacter sp.
Lineage: Archaea; Methanobacteriati; Methanobacteriota; Methanobacteria; Methanobacteriales; Methanobacteriaceae
Description: bacterial SSU rRNA
Rfam family: Bacterial small subunit ribosomal RNA
Source: RNAcentral